Molecule: long non-coding RNA, 1549 nt
Organism: Sycon ciliatum
Lineage: Eukaryota; Metazoa; Porifera; Calcarea; Leucosolenida; Sycettidae
Exons: 2
Source: RefSeq, a predicted model, not a curated record
CUGUAACUUUGAUGAUUUCUAAGUCUUCUCAACCCCUCUCAACUCCAAUCGUUUUUAACCAACAGCCUCUGACUCAAGUGUCUAGCACGAGAAUCCUGGGAGUCAUUGUAGACAGUGAUGUUUCUUGGUCUGGUCACAUAGACUUUAUCGUUAGGAAGACUUGCACGAAAAUUGGCGCUCUUCGACGGUGUUUUCGGCAACUAAGUUUGAAGGCAACACGGCAGUUUAUCCUCUCGGUUAUCCUGCCUGACUUAUUAUACUGCUGCUCUUGCUUUGCAAUGAAGCUAUCCGCCAAGGACCGACAGCGACUCUCGUCCGUUUAUCGUCGUUCUGUACGCGCUGCUUGUGGCUCGAAACUACAAGAUGACGUCAUGCCGCUGUUAGCUAGAUUGUCGAUUGAUUCGUUUGAACAUUACCUUAUUCGUAGCAUUGCUAAAUUUAUCCAUGUUAAUCAUGUCGUGUUCCCUCUCCCAAAUCUGACAGACCUUUUCCCUCAAGUUUCAACCGGCCCUAGGACAACAAGAAGCUCUUUUAAUGCUGCUAUUGCAAUUUCUAAAUUCCGGACGACUGACGGUGUCAAUUCCUUUUCAAAUCGUGCUGCCCUGUUCUUUAAUUCUUUGCCUGUGGAGUGGCGCACCCAGCACCGCACUACAUUUGCUAAGCACCUUCAACAAAACCAAGGUGCAAGACAGCAUGAGAGAUCGUGUAAACGAUGUGAACUCCAAAAGGUAAGCUCCUGAACAAGUGGAAAGAUAUGGGUAUUUACAAACUCUCUCUUCAUCCAUCGAUUGGCGCUAUGCAUUGCAUUUUGUCUUCACAGAUAAUCUGGUCAAAUUUAUUGUAACUAGAGAGUGCAAUCGUGCACUGCUUGGGGCCCAUCCCAAUGUCAUCACAUGGCUGUGGUGACUAGUGUAUAUCUGGGAGAAUUUUUCCUCGACUGAUACGGAGUGCAGGUGGAUCGAUUAUGAGAAAUGCGAACAUGUGAAGUUCAAGGCUAGAUGCACUUCACAUUCGGCGUGCGAUCUCAGCGUCUGGGACCUGAUGAAGUCUUGGUUGGAUGAUUAUUCAAGCCUAAUACUACUCGACACACCAAUGUUCAUGUGAAUGUAAUUUUUUCAGAGCUGCACUAUUUACGUGUUGAUGCUUACUUCGGUGUUAGCGUGUUUCCCCCGGAUUGUUUCUAUCAUCAUGAUCGUGUGUUCUUGGGCUGAGCGAGCACAUGCACAAGUGUGCAGCUAUAACCCUGUGUAUCUUUGGUUACACUUUGUUCUGCAAUGCAUGUACCUUGUAACAUUAUGUGCUUGCACUGCUUUGUCUGGCCUGCGUAUUUCAGGACUAUUCAGUGCAUUAGACCCAGGUUUGUUUGGUUGCCGGAUGACCUCUUGUUGCGUCGCUCUGUAUUUGUAUUCAUCAAUUUUUGGGCUUGAGAAUUGAGCUGUUGUGUGGUUCCCAAUAUGAAAACAUCAUGCUGGUGCUCUGUGUUUCGAUUAUCGACUGUCGGAGCAGUCAUGCAUUUAUUAGCAGAACGGUCAAUACUGUAGUCUUUUCA